Molecule: ribosomal RNA, 484 nt
Filed under: uncultured bacterium
Lineage: Bacteria
Description: partial 16S ribosomal RNA
Rfam family: Bacterial small subunit ribosomal RNA
Source: RNAcentral
AUUGAACGCUGGCGGCAGGCCUAACACAUGCAAGUCGAGCGGAUGAAGGGAGCUUGCUCCUGGAUUCAGCGGCGGACGGGUGAGUAAUGCCUAGGAAUCUGCCGGGUAGUGGGGUAUAACGUCCGGAAACGGGCGCUAAUACCGCAUACGUCCUGAGGGAGAAAGUGGGGGAUCUUCGGACCUCACGCUAUCAGAUGAGCCUAGGUCGGAUUAGCUAGUUGGUGGGGUAAAGGCCUACCAAGGCGACGAUCCGUAACUGGUCUGAGAGGAUGAUCAGUCACAUUGGAACUGAGACACGGUCCAGACUCCUACGGGAGGCAGCAGUGGGGAAUAUUGGACAAUGGGCGAAAGCCUGAUCCAGCCAUGCCGCGUGUGUGAAGAAGGUCUUCGGAUUGUAAAGCACUUUAAGUUGGGAGGAAGGGCAGUAAGUUAAUACCUUGCUGUUUUGACGUUACCAACAGAAUAAGCACCGGCUAACUUCGUG